Non-coding RNA from Equus caballus (horse), 4254 nucleotides. The record is from RefSeq and is a predicted model, not a curated record. NCBI's taxonomy places the organism in Eukaryota, Metazoa, Chordata, Mammalia, Perissodactyla, Equidae.
GGGAUCCGAACUGGUGAACCCCAGGUCACUGAAGCAGAACAUGGGAACUUAACCAUUGCGCCACAGGGCCGGCCACAGAGACCUUGGCCACUUUUUAAGUUGUAUGUCCUUAGACACAUCACGUAUACAUUCUGAGGCUCUUGUAAAAUGGGGAUGUCACUUAACUUGUAAGGUUAUUGUGAACAUCAAGUGAAAAAAAAAAAACCAGAUCUCCUAACUGUUAUUGUAGUGCCCAAUAAGGGUGAUUUCCCUUCUCCUCCUCCUCUUCUUGAGAGCAGAGGCUCUGCUUUUAUUUCUUUGUACUUUUCGUGUUACUGCACGCAAUGGAGAUGCAUUCAUAUAUCCUUGUCUCAUUUUUGUAUAUAUCACGGUGGGAUGAAGGAACUAGUGGCACCCCAAAUGGAGAGGGGGCAGGCGAGGUUUUGUCAGUGGCUUUUAAUUUCUCUUCCUUAUGAAAUUGGGGGCUGCUCCAGGGAAUAGAAGUCCCUGGGACAGUCCUGUUUUCCAUUGCCUUUGGCUUCCGCAUCACGGUCCUCUUUCCUUUGGUUUGGUGGUCUGUGUUCAGCUUGUGGUGGGUCUUGUCUGGCAUGUUGGGGUUGGCACUGAACACGUCAGUGAUGCCUGGAAUGUCCUCCUUCAUGGCCUUCUGAGACAGGGGCCUCAGCUGAUUCGCCCUGCAGGUCUGCUCUCAGUUGCAAUUUCUCUUUCCAGGAAAAAAAAAUUCUUUAAAAAAUGCUUUGGGGAGGCUUUCUUAUUGUGGCUGAAGGCGCUGGUGCGUCGUUCGCAGCCAAGUUUGGGUUUGAAUCUCCCUGGGGUUUGAGGCUGUUCAACUGCAAUUCCUAACAUUCUCUUGCUUUUUAUGCAUGGACCGUCUUCGGGAUCCUUGGUGAAUUUUUCACUCUGGGGUUUUCAGGAGAAAGGUUUGUCAUUUGUCAUCACGCUCCUCAUCCAUCACAGUUGGAGUAAGAGUGGUUAGAGGGAAAAGGUGGAAUCAGUUGUUCACAUUUUUCUUUCUUCCAGGUAAGUCUUUUCCCCCUGUCUUUCUGGAAGUAAACCAAUUGGGAAAUGCUUGGGCUGGUGUUUCUGGGAUGAUCUUGGCAUGUAUAGGAAGAGGGGUGCUUUUUGCUGAUGGCCCUGGGAUUGGUCCUGUGUCCCUGAGGUGUGGUUUAGCAAGAGGUGAACAGUCAUUUAAUUAUUUAUUGGGUGCCUGGAGAAUUUUAUAGGCAGGAGAGCCUAGGGCAGUUCCACAAAAGAAGGCCAAUCGUGGAGCUUUUCAUGCAGCUCUCUUCUUGGGCUUGAAGCCUCUGAUGCUCCCCAAUGCUUAUCAUAGCCCCCAGUGCCAACCAAGUGUCAGGUAGGGACAAUAGAGUCAGCUGAAGCUCUUUCUUUGCAUGCGCUCAUGUUAACUGAUCCAGUCAGACGUGGGUGCCCUUCCAAACCAUUAUGCCUUGUUCCUCUCAGCUGCUAGGAACAUUAAAAGAUCUUAUUUGAAGGCAAACAUUACUGUGUCAAUGAUGCUGAAACUGGAGGUCUGUAGAGUGGCACUUCGUUGCCUUGAUAAUUAUUCCUGCUUUGAGCCAUAACACUAUGAUUAUUGAGGUUAAAAUGGAGGGGCUGAGAGAGCCUUGAGGCCAUCCAAAGCAUUCUCCUGCCUUCAGGCCAGGCCCUGUGUUGAAGGAAGGAGGAAGAGGAGUGGACUGUGCAUGGAGGAAAAUUCAAUAACGACUGGAAUUCUGGAUGUAGACCCCCUCACCCCCCAGCCUGAGACCACAGCACAGUUUAACCCGGUGAUGGGCACAGAGGGCAGAGACUGCACCAGCACUGCAGGUUGGCUGAGCAUUCUGCUUAAACACACUUUUUUUUCAUUUCUUUUUUAGUGUGCACCGUCUGCUGGGACUAUAGAGGUUUUGCUUGUUGUUUUUUUUAACUUUGGGACAUAGAACUCUCUAGUUGUGUUUGUGUUUUGGUAACCACAUGUAACAGCCGGUGGAAUCUUUCUUCUCUCUGCUUUCUCUGAACUUUCCAAAGAGUGGGCCCCUAUCUCUCGGGGGAUUAACUCCUUGUGGCCCCUGCAUCGUUGGUGCUCCCCCACCCUGGGUCAGCAUCUAAACCUCUGUACACAGGAUGUUUUCUCCAGCGCUUAUCAGAUGGCGUAGGAGAUGUGGGGUGGAGAUAGAGGUAACGUUUAACCCAUCCUGAAUUCCUUUCAUGAGUUGGGGCCCAAGACGAACUCAGCCUCAGAACAGAGGGAGGGUUUGGCCGGAGCAAAUGAUGCUGGGCUCUCCAUCUCAAAGGGAGGUGUGGGCGCCUGUGGUGGGGGGCACAAAGGAGCUCCUUUUCGAUGGCUUAUUUAACACCCCUCCCUGACACCAGUGGGUGGGUUUGGAGCCCGAGGAAUCAAAGAGAAAUUUAACAAACGACUCUUUCUUGUAUGUGGGCUGAAUAAUUGAAUUUGUGGGUAAUCCACACCAGUUUUUUCUCUUUUCUCAUCCUCCUUCCUUUCUCUCAGACCAGAAUCUUGCUCAGUGUGCCGGUUUGAGAUCCCUUGCUGAGGGAAGGGAAAGGAAGGUACCUUGGAACAGCUGGCAGUCAGCACUGUCCCCAGAAGACUCUAUUAUCGAGGUGGAGGGACUGGAGAGUGGAUUGGUGCCAUUUUGUUAUGGGUUGCGUGCAUUCUUCGAAACCUACGGGCAUGACUGUCAGAUUCAUUGAAGGGAUGGACCUCCCAGAAGCCAAGAGGUAGGAGAUCUUGUGGCCUGGGAAUCAGGAGGCCUGCACCCUGGGAGCCACUCACCAUGGGGUGGGAUUCAGCCCACCCAGCUUCCAGAACAGAGAACAUCAUUCUAGCUUCUGCAUCAUGAUUCCACUGGAAAACCAUUUCUGUUGAAUGGACAUUGACUAAUGCAUGCUUUUCUUCUUACUGACACCAAAGAGAAAGGUCAUGCCUCUUAUCAUUAGGACAUUCUUGUAGGGGCACCAGAGUAAUCUCAACCACUUUGAGUAACAGGAUUAAGUCUGUUGGGGCAUCAGAAGGGGAGUUUGUCAUUACUGUUUCCCCUGAGAUCAGGGUUGAUUAUCACACUGGCCACCAUAUUUGCCUUUUCCUGACCUGUUUUGUCAGGUGAGUCGGCAACUUUACCCAUAGCCAUCCACCCGCCUGGGGAAGACACAUCUGUAAAAAAUUAGACCAGUUGGUGUUUCGGCACCUGCUAGGUGGACGUAGCAGUACAUUUAGGAAGUUCCUCAUUAUGACUAGUCUUCGUUUCUCUUGUCGUAAUCUAAAUAUACUUCCUUGAUUCUUCUUUUCAAGUUUGACGGAGAAAUAAUUGACAUACAUCACUGUAUAAGCUUAAGGGGCACAGCAUGAUGUUUUGAUUUACAUAGACUGUGAAAUGAUUACCCGCAAUGGGUUCAGCUAACGUCCAUCUUCUCAUGUAGAUAUGAUGAAAAGAAAACAAAGAAAAAGGAAAAAACUUUUCUCCUUGUGAUGAGAACUCGUAGGAUUAACUCUCUUAACAACUUUCCUGUCUAUCAGACAGCAGUGUUCACUGUAUGUUGUACAUGUAACGUCAUGUUGUAUGUUUCAUCGCUGGUACUUAUUUAUCUUAUAACUGGAAGUUUGUACCUUCUGACCACGUUCCUCCUAUUGCUGUGAUUCUUGCAACCAAGCCGGUGAGCUGAGGCUGGUUGGACAGCCCAAAACUCUGAAUUAAUUCUCUUGGGUGAAACGCUGGGUGUGGCUGUUUUUCCACUGGAGGUGACAAAAAAGAGGGGGGGGAUCUAUUUAGGUUUCAUUUGAGGCAGAGAUCUGGCCUUGCUGGGUUUCCUUGUUUGUUUAUAAACUGCUUAAAUGAGGUUUUUUCCUCCUCUCUCCGUUUCUCUCCUUCUCUUAUCCUAACAGUCUCAUAGGUAAACUUAGAAGGAAGACAAAUACUUCUCAAACUGUCACCGAGGGUGCUGUAAAAGAGACAUUUGGACAGUGGUGCUGGGAGAUCCUUGUCUUUGCUCCACGUUAAUACAAAGGGAUUGGGGUAGCCCAGAUCACCAGGGGAGGGCAGUUUUUCUUCAUUUAGCUUUUAAUUGCUUUCUUUCACUUUUAUGUAUAAAAGAUUGUCCAUUUAAUUAACUCAAGAAUGCAAUUUCAAAAACACUAAUGCUUUACACAUGAUGGCUUUUAAAAUAAAAGUAGCAUUCUAAUAUUGCGUAAUGUUUUCCUAUCCCCUCACUCUUCCCCUCCUCCUCCCACCACCCCUC